GUGGCUAGAACUAGGGUAAUACUGGUGGGAAAAGAGAAAGAUGGACAAACUGGAGAAUACAAAAAAUAGGACUUCGUGAUGAACAGAUAGCGAGAGUUGAGGAUAUUCUGCUUCUGGCUUUUGCAAAUGGGUUUGUGAGCAGUAAUAUUAUUCACUAAGAAGAAGAGGGACAUUUAGACAUUUUGAGUUUGGGUGUGUGCAGUAACAGAAUUAGAGACGAAACGUGCUCCCUUGAGAGAACACCUCCUUUGAUAAAUCUAAUUUUUAUGCUUGCAAAUAACCUGUUCCUCAAAUUUGUUGAAACUGGUUAAAUCUUUUCAACUCCCCUAUCUCACACGUGUGUAUUUUCAGUAUAACAAGUAGCAUGCACAUCGGUUUGCAAAGUACACCUUUCACAUUGAUGGCAAAGGAUGAGCCUUGGGAGGACAAGAAUAUGGGGAAAGCCAUAUACUCUAAUAUACCUUGCACUGGAGUGACGUGCGUGGGUAGCUUCAGCAGCACCAAGUACAGACACAGCAUCUGACCGGCAACAACGCAGCUCUGUGGUUCACGCUCUCGCGUGUCCGCGGGAUCCCGCACGAGCUAAGCGACCGCUACUCUCGCGAGAGGUAGGGAGACCGCAGCUGCUUGGAUUCCCCAAACCGCGCUACGAGAGCUCCCACCUGCUGAGGAGCGGAGUCCGGCCACUCCCGCGGGCUUCUGGGAAUCGUAGUUCCGGGGCCGGACGAGGCCCGCCAGCCUUGCCCUGUGCUUUUGCGCAUGCGCGGCCCCGCUGGCCAGAGAAGUUCGUAGCCUUUGUGAGGCCCGGUGUGGGAGGUGAGUUGUUCCUCAGGUGCGGCUCUCCUUGCUCGGCCUCGGCGGUGCCCCCGGGACAUUAGUCUGCGCCGAGCCGGGUGGAGUGAGCGCUGGAGAAAGGGGCGUCGAGGGCAGGCACGAGCCCCAUCCCCGAAGCCCCGGGGCGCGGGGUGGGCGGGGGCUUGGUCUGCGCGGCGGCCCCUUGGCUGCGGCCCCGGCGCCUUUCCUCCGGCCGCUCGGCCCCCGCGCAGCUCCGAGCGGCAGCGCCAGGCGCGAGCGCCCAGCUUCAGGGAUGCUGUCCCGGCUUUCCAGGUGCCAGCCUCGAGGGCCAAGCCGGUUCGGGACGGAGCGAAGCCUUUCGGAGGAGCCCCCCGAGGGGAGGCGGGAAGGAGGACCACGAGGCCUCGGGGCUUCCCGCUCCUCCGCGCGGAGAGGGCUGCGCUGGGGGGAGAGCUGAACCUUCGCGGCCGGGAGGUGGUGACCAUGGAGACAGAUAUGGCCGAAAUGCCUGGGAAGAGCGCUCUGUCUUCCCAGGAUUCUCCCUUUUCCCAAGAAAAGAGCACAGAAGAGGGAGAAGUGGCAGCUUUGCGCCUCACAGCCAGAUCACAGGUGAGUGAGUCUCUGCUGGUUAUUGAAAUUCCACCUUAUUUCUCGGAGUGCAGACGCACUCCCUUCUUUUUGAUGUGGAGCUUCUGUGUCCACUAGAGCUGAAUUCUAAUUCUAAGAGACAACUCGAGUGACUAAAGGGCUCAGUGGAAAAUGUUUUCUGCUUCUUCGUGGUAUCUUGUCCGCCUAGUAUUUAUUAUCACUCAGAAGGCGUGGAAGGAGCAUUGCUCUUCUUUAGCCCAUUAGCUAAUUUCUAUGCUUGUUAUUUGGGAAACGAUUUUAAAAGACAAUGUGGUGCAUACCUCUUAAAAUGUAUGUUUCACUAGGGGAAACAACAUACACAUGACUGUUAAGUAGGAAUUUAAGAAAACACCUGAAGUGCUGGAGUGAAUUAUGAACAUAGUGAGUACUCAAAUAGUUCAAAGGAAUGCUGGAAAAGGAAGCCUAUAGAAGAUUUAAAGAGUUAGAAUCCAGCCCAGCAAGAUGAUGAAUGUGGAUGUAUUUUAGAGGUGAACUGUUACCAAGUUACAACUCAGUUUCCAAACUCUCACUUCCCCAAGGGCAAAUACUAAGAAUUGCUGAAUUUAAGCGGUAGUUGUAUAUGGGUGAUUAGUGUGUUAGUCUCUCAACUUUUUGUAUGUCUGAACAUCUUUCUUAAACGAAGUUGAGCGGGAGUGUGUGUGUCAUACCACAUGGUGUGUGUCAUACCACAAUGUGUGUGUCAUACCACAAUGCAAAGAUUCCUCCACUAGCCUCUCUUUUUGCUACUUUAAUCCAAAGUGUGAAAGUGGACAUUGCACAUUGCUGCCGUUUGUCAACGUGAUUUCCCAGGAUCCUUGUAUACUUGUUUGCCUCCAUUGGUUUCUUAAAUACCUUACGUGAAUAUUGAAGACUUUAUUAGUCAAGAAGCUUUAAGUUGCACCUGAUGAAAACUCGAUUCAAACUGGCUUAAGCAAAAAGAGGUAUUUAUUGACUAUUAUAAGUGAAAAAUCCAGGUCUGGCUAAAAUUGAGUUCAGGCAGUGACAUUAGAAUCUAUUUUCUCCAUUUCAGUGACCUUUUCUUUUCUUUCUGUGUGUUUUGCAGUCAAGCAGGCUUUUCUUCUCGUGCAGGGUAGCCCCUAACAAAUUUAGGCCUACAUCUUGCCACGUUGAAGAUCAUUGAAAAGGGGCAUCUUCCCUUCUGGUCGUUCCAGAAGAAGGACUGAGGUUAACUCUAUAAUGGGUAUUAGGCCCAUUGUUGGACCAUUAUUGGCAAAUCUGAGUGUGAUGAUCAGACUAGAAAAUAUACCUGUACAUACACAUACAAACACACAUCCCACCCAUGGGUCAGAGAUGGAGUUGUACUACCUGAACUGCAUGGACUAAAAGUGGUCAGGCAUAGCAGCCGGAGGAAAGUCAGAGUACAGAUACCAAAAAAAGGGUGAAUGCUUUAUACAUUUCAGCACAUUAAUAUUAGAUUCAAGACUGCUUGUAUAGUAGCUUCAGAAUUGAUUAAACCUUUUAUGGAAAGUUUUAAAACUAUCCUUUUUGCAUUGCAUUGGAUUUUGUUUGAUGCUAAUACUGCAACUGUCUUUCUUAUUAGAAUUUGCCUGGGCUGUUUAUCUUUUACUUAUUAGACUUUUUUAAUAAUUAGAGUUUUAAUUUUUGCUCAUGGUAACCAGGUGAACGGUACAGACGUAUAUAAAUAUUAAAGCAUAUUACCCGUCCUUACUUUCCCAAGUUCAGUCCACCACCUCUC
RNAcentral lists this long non-coding RNA (3139 nucleotides) under Delphinapterus leucas (beluga whale). Its description in RNAcentral is "lncRNA (ENSDLEG00000020659.1)". The record is from RNAcentral. Lineage: Eukaryota; Metazoa; Chordata; Mammalia; Artiodactyla; Monodontidae.